Molecule: long non-coding RNA, 924 nt
Organism: Stomoxys calcitrans (stable fly)
Lineage: Eukaryota; Metazoa; Arthropoda; Insecta; Diptera; Muscidae
Exons: 3
Source: RefSeq, a predicted model, not a curated record
CAAUCUUUUGCCAAUCCAACCCUCUGGCAAGUGGCAAAAAACAUAAUAAAUCAACAAGCUAUCGAUGGAACAAGAAAACACAAUAGACCAUUGAAAAAACACCUAUAGAAUCAAACUUGUAGACAUUGUAGACCAUGGCACCCCUUGUCCUGAAAAGUUUAAGGGUACCCCGUGAUCACCUGUUCCCGCUCCAUCGCUGUCUAGUCACUUACCCCAUAUUCCGUUGAUUUAACCUUUCAUCACUCAAUUUAUAGAGCAAGUAUUUUCAAUGAUAAUUCAUAAUACAAAUUUUUAUUAAAUUGGAAAAAAGAUUUACAUCAUUAGUAACGUUAAGAUAAACAAACAAUAUUUAAAAUUAGAAUUAAAAAAGAUUAAUUGGAACUGGGUCUAAUAACUUUCCGACAAUUAUAAAAAAAAUUAUUAGAAAAAAAACAAUAUUAAAAAUUUUGGAAUUUCCCCUCUUUUCAGAUGGUUUGCGUCGCUUCGUCAGUUUCGGAUGAAUGUUAAUGGACUGCCCGUGUAGAAUGCGGCAUUGGUGGCGGCCUUUGCGGUCAAUAAGGUCCCUUCGAGUUCUCGUCUGUCCGUCCGUCUAGUCUUUGUUUCUUUUCUGGGGUUUUCUGUUGUGCUGCUUUUUCAGCACAGUAGGGUCAACAUCGGCUGAAAGGGGCAAGGAAAUAUCCUUUAAUUUCUUACUACCUAACCUAACGAGGAGCUCAUGUUUAGGUCAAUGUUUGCAUUACAACCAACGGUGAAGGAAUAUUGGCUUUGGUUUUCACCUUUCAAUUAUUUUCAUGGCUUUGAUUUUUCUAAGUCUUUAGUUUUUAAAAUUUUCAAUUAAAUUUUGUAUUAACAUUUCUUUUUUAGCUUUCACUUUUUCUUUAGAUCAUUUCUUUUAAUGAUUUAACUAAUUAAUUUUUUUCUCUU